UGGGACCAAAACACAAUAAGCACUCAUUUUAUAAUCGAAAAGGAUACUUUAGUUUAAAUGCUCUUGUUGUUUGUGACCAAAAAAUGAGGUUUCGAUUUAUUGAUGCGUCGCAUCCUGGAGCUUGUCACGACUCUUUAGUGUGGAACGUUUCGGAACUAAAGAGACAUAUUUGCAAUAAUCGCAGCAACUUUUGGAUGUUAGGCGACGCAGGAUAUCCUCUGGAAUCCUUCUUAUUAACACCUUAUAGGACACCUGA
Molecule: long non-coding RNA, 256 nt
Organism: Bactrocera tryoni
Lineage: Eukaryota; Metazoa; Arthropoda; Insecta; Diptera; Tephritidae
Exons: 3
Source: RefSeq, a predicted model, not a curated record